GAUGAAGAACGCAGCGAAAUGCGAUAAGUAAUGUGAAUUGCAGAAUUCAGUGAAUCAUCGAAUCUUUGAACGCACAUUGCGCCCGCCAGUAUUCUGGCGGGCAUGCCUGUUCGAGCGUCAUUUCAACCAUCAAGCCCCAGGCUUGUGUUGGGGACCUGCGGCUGCCGCAGGCCCUGAAAACCAGUGGCAGGCUCGCUGUCACACCGGGCGUAGUAGAUUUUAUCUCGCUCAGGGCGUGCUGCGGGUUCCGGCCGUUAAAAAGCCUUUUUUACCCAAGGUUGACCUCGGAUCAGGUAGGAAGACCCGCUGAACUUAAGCAUAUCAAUAAGCGGAGGA
This 336-nucleotide unclassified non-coding RNA is filed under the name soil metagenome. RNAcentral's name for it is "partial contains 5.8S ribosomal RNA, internal transcribed spacer 2, and large subunit ribosomal RNA". The stretch from base 1 to 120 matches the Rfam family "5.8S ribosomal RNA", at positions 35 to 154 of the family's 154-position model. The record is from RNAcentral.